UUAAAUUGACCUGUUUUUUUUUAAUGUGCAGAAUUUUUCUUUGUUUCAAAUAAAGAAAUACUUUGCAUGAGCAAAAUAAUUUUUUUCCUUUUUCAGUACUACAGCGUAAAUUUCACAAAACAGCCAUCAAAGAAGUAAACCAAGUGACUGUUCAUUCUUUUACAAUCUUGAGUAACCUUGUCACCUCAAAUUUCCAAAACAAUUUUAUAGGAACACUAAAUAAAAAAAAUAGUGCAUUGAAACUUCUGCAAUGAAAUGCAGAUUUAAUUUCCAACAAGUGUCAAAUAUAUUUUGUUCUACCCUUAUUAACAUGAAACCAGAUAUGAAACCAGAUGUGAAACCAGAUGUGACAUACUUUGUUUUGAUGUUUUUAUAUCAUAGCCGUUUGGCCUUUAUAAGGAACAUACACUUAAAAAAGGCUGAACAUUCUUCAGUUGAACUCUUUUUAGUGGCUUAUUAUAAUAAGAAUUUAUUUAUAAAUAUUAUAUUUAUUGACUUCAAUCUGUAGUAAGAUCUUAAAUUUUUGUAAAUUCACAAG
Molecule: long non-coding RNA, 538 nt
Filed under: Mytilus galloprovincialis (Mediterranean mussel)
Lineage: Eukaryota; Metazoa; Mollusca; Bivalvia; Mytilida; Mytilidae
Source: RNAcentral